CUAUCUUAAAAGCCCUCUUUUUAAAAAUGCAACCAUGCCUCCUGUCUGUAAAGUCUUUGCUUUAUUAUACUUUUUUUUCUACCUGAUAUCUGUGAAGACAGAUGAAGAACAAAAUUAAAUAUGUGUUGGAUACGAGGAUUGGGAGCAAGGGCUUUCCUGUGAGCAGGGAAAAGCUUUGCAAACAAUGCCUGGUGCAUCCUCACGGCAGCAAAUCCAGCUGUGAGGAGGCAGAGCGCUCAUCACUGAUCCUAACUCCUCAGCCAGUAACUCACACCUGUGCCCCAGUAGCUG
Molecule: long non-coding RNA, 291 nt
Filed under: Mus spicilegus (steppe mouse)
Lineage: Eukaryota; Metazoa; Chordata; Mammalia; Rodentia; Muridae
Description: lncRNA (ENSMSIG00000030403.1)
Source: RNAcentral